AUUGAACGCUGGCGGCAGGCCUAACACAUGCAAGUCGAGCGAGCGGCGGACGGGUGAGUAAUGUCUGGGAAACUGCCUGAUGGAGGGGGAUAACUACUGGAAACGGUAGCUAAUACCGCAUACCAUCAGAUGUGCCCAGUUGGGAUUAGCUAGUAGGUGGGGUAACGGCUCACCUAGGCGACGAUCCCUAGCUGGUCUGAGAGGAUGACCAGCCACACUGGAGCGGGGACACGGUCCAGACUCCGACGGUAGGCAGCAGGGGGGAAUAUUGGCCAAUGGGCGCAAUCCUGAUGCAGCCAUGCCGCGUGUGUGAAGAAGGCCUUCGGGUUGUAAAGCACGUUCAGCGGGGAGGCGUUACCCGCAGAAGAAGCACCGGCUAACUCCGUGCCAGCAGCCGCGGUAAUAC
Molecule: ribosomal RNA, 406 nt
Filed under: uncultured bacterium
Lineage: Bacteria
Description: partial 16S ribosomal RNA
Rfam family: Bacterial small subunit ribosomal RNA
Source: RNAcentral